Small nucleolar RNA from Vitis vinifera (wine grape), 83 nucleotides. It matches the Rfam family "Small nucleolar RNA SNORD24". From Rfam's summary of the family: U24 is a member of the C/D class of snoRNA which contain the C (UGAUGA) and D (CUGA) box motifs. C/D box snoRNAs have been shown to act as methylation guides for a number of RNA targets. U24 is encoded within an intron of the gene for ribosomal protein L7a in mammals, chicken and Fugu. NCBI's taxonomy places the organism in Eukaryota, Viridiplantae, Streptophyta, Magnoliopsida, Vitales, Vitaceae. The record is from Rfam.
GGCCCGUGAGGAAUGAUUAAUAUUUGCUACUCUUGAUGGAUGACUCCAUCUGAUGACCACUUUCCACCAAGAUCUCUGAGGCC